This 1031-nucleotide ribosomal RNA is filed under the name Thalassovita gelatinovora. RNAcentral's name for it is "bacterial LSU rRNA". It matches the Rfam family "Bacterial large subunit ribosomal RNA", at positions 13 to 1062 of the family's 2925-position model. Lineage: Bacteria; Pseudomonadati; Pseudomonadota; Alphaproteobacteria; Rhodobacterales; Roseobacteraceae. The record is from RNAcentral.
GAAGGGCGUUUGGUGAAUGCCUUGGCAGUAAGAGGCGAUGAAGGACGUGAUACUCUGCGAUAAGUCAUGGGGAGCUGAGAAUAAGCUUUGAUCCAUGAAUUUCCGAAUGGGGCAACCCACCUGACAGUUCGAUAUAAUAGCCUUUUGGCUGCUUAUAUCUUGCUGAAACAGGUACUUAUAGACUGAAUACAUAGGUUUAUAAGAGCGAACCCGGGGAACUGAAACAUCUAAGUACCCGGAGGAAAGGACAUCAAUUGAGACUCCCCUAGUAGCGGCGAGCGAACGGGGACCAGCCGAGCCUUGAAUGUGAAUAGAAUGGUCUGGAAUGGCCAACCACAGUGGGUGACAGUCCCGUAUAUGAAGCACGAUAGGACGUAUUAAGUAGGGCGGGACACGUGAAAUCCUGUCUGAAGAUCGGGGGACCACCCUCGAAGGCUAAGUACUCCUUACUGACCGAUAGUGAACCAGUACCGUGAGGGAAAGGUGAAAAGCACCCCGACGAGGGGAGUGAAACAGUACCUGAAACCGAACGCCUACAAUCAGUCGGAGGCUCCUUGCGAGCUGACGGCGUACCUUUUGUAUAAUGGGUCAUCGACUUGGUCUCACGAGCAAGCUUAAGCCGUUAGGUGUAGGCGCAGCGAAAGCGAGUCUUAAUAGGGCGCAUGAGUUCGUGGGAUCAGACCCGAAACCGAGUGAUCUAGGCAUGACCAGGAUGAAGGUAAGGUAACACUUACUGGAGGUCCGAACCCACACCUGUUGAAAAAGGUCGGGAUGAGUUGUGCCUAGGGGUGAAAGGCCAAUCAAACUCGGAGAUAGCUGGUUCUCUGCGAAAUCUAUUUAGGUAGAGCGUCAUCCGAAUACCCCGGGGGGUAGAGCACUGGAUGGGUAAUGGGGCCCCACAGGCUUACUGAUCCUAACCAAACUCCGAAUACCCGGGAGUACUAGAUGGCAGACACACCAUGGAUGCUAACGUCCAUGGUGAAGAGGGAAACAACCCUGACCUCCAGCUAAGGCCCCUAAUUCAUGGCUAA